AUGCUUAGUAGCGGCGAGUGAGCGGCAAAAGCUCAAAUUUGAAAUCUGGCGCCUUCGGUGUCCGAGUUGUAAUUUGAAGAUUGUAACCUUGGGGUUGGCUCUUGUCUAUGUUUCUUGGAACAGGACGUCACAGAGGGUGAGAAUCCCGUGCGAUGAGAUGCCCAAUCCUAUGUAAGGUGCUUUCGAAGAGUCGAGUUGUUUGGGAAUGCAGCUCUAAGUGGGUGGUAAAUUCCAUCUAAAGCUAAAUAUUGGCGAGAGACCGAUAGCGAACAAGUACAGUGAUGGAAAGAUGAAAAGAACUUUGAAAAGAGAGUGAAAAAGUACGUGAAAUUGUUGAAAGGGAAGGGUUUGAGAUCAGACUCGAUAUUUUGUGAGCCUUGCCUUCGUGGCGGGGUGACCCGCAGCUUAUCGGGCCAGCAUCGGUUUGAGCGGUAGGAUAAUGGCGUAGGAAUGUGACUUUACUUCGGUGAAGUGUUAUAGCCUGCGUUGAUGCUGCCUGCCUAGACCGAGGACUGCGAUUUUAUCAAGGAUGCUGGCAUAAUGAUCCCAAACCGCCCGUCUUGA
Molecule: ribosomal RNA, 564 nt
Filed under: Meyerozyma guilliermondii
Lineage: Eukaryota; Fungi; Ascomycota; Pichiomycetes; Serinales; Debaryomycetaceae
Description: eukaryotic LSU rRNA
Rfam family: Eukaryotic large subunit ribosomal RNA
Source: RNAcentral